RNAcentral lists this ribosomal RNA (253 nucleotides) under uncultured bacterium. Its description in RNAcentral is "partial 16S ribosomal RNA". It matches the Rfam family "Bacterial small subunit ribosomal RNA", at positions 524 to 776 of the family's 1533-position model. The record is from RNAcentral.
GACGUAGGAGGCGAGCGUUAUCCGGAUUCACUGGGCGUAAAGCGCAUGUAGGCGGAUGUCUAAGUCGUGUGUUAAAGCCCCUGGCUCAACUGGGGGAGGUCAUGCGAGACUGGAUGACUUGAGGGCAACAGAGGCACGUGGAACUCCCGGUGCAGCGGUGGAAUGCGUAGAGAUCGGGAAGAACACCCGUGGCGAAGGCGGCGUGCUGGGUUGCAACUGACGCUGAGAUGCGAAAGUGUGGGGAGCAAACGGG